CCCUGCUCCAACAUUAUCAAGUAGCCCUGAACACCUUGAUUAGCUGGUUCAGGUGUGUUUGAUUGGGAUUGGAGCUGAAAUCUGCAGGACUGUAGUUCUCCAGGAGCAAGGUUGGAGACCCCUGUUCUAGAAUAUAAACCACAUAAAUGUUUUACACAUGUAAUAUGUUCACAUUCAGGGUUUUCUGACUGCAGCUGUGCCUUGAUAAGAAGGUGCAGCUUUAACUGAGGCAGUUGAGGCAAGACAUGUGACAUGUUCUUGUUUCUGGCGGCGUUAAUCUCAAGGUUUGGGUUUGCCAAGUACUUUGAGCACCUCUGCAUUUGUAGGAUUCUGACCCAGCGCCCUCAUGACAUCACCACACUGGGCGAGAGAGAGACUCACUCACUCACACAAGAGAACAGGAAUGCUAAGCUGUAAUAUUGGAGCUUGCAGACACCUGCGUGGAAGGCCGUAUGACCACAUGGAGGCUCUUCUACUGACCUCAGACAAGCCUCCAGACCCUAUCUCUGACCAUCAGGUCUCCCUCUGUAGAAUGUCCAUUUCCAUACACAGAGAGGCAGGGCUGUUGGGAAUGUCUGGCUUCAUGUUGUUAACACUAACAGCGUAGGAGGAGAGAUGUGCUUUUAGGAUGGAAUGUGCAUAGUUUUCAAGGUCUGUUGCUUCACUGCCUUGAGAACUUUAUAUAACUGACACAUUGAUUCAUAAAUCAUGCCAUGAUGAGUAACUCAAUAAACUAUUGUCUGGUUGUCUGAACAGUGAUGGUUCCACUGAGUGUAAAUUUUGUGAUGCGUGAUUUAACUUACAGCA
Long non-coding RNA from Cyprinus carpio (common carp), 807 nucleotides. RefSeq lists it as uncharacterized. The transcript has 5 exons. The record is from RefSeq and is a predicted model, not a curated record. Lineage: Eukaryota; Metazoa; Chordata; Actinopteri; Cypriniformes; Cyprinidae.